UUAGAGUUUGAUCCUGGCUCAGGAUGAACGCUGGCGGCGUGCCUAAUACAUGCAAGUCGAACGAAUCUCUUUUAGAGAUGAGUGGCGAACGGGUGAGUAAUACAUAGGUAACCUGCCCCUGUGCGGGGGAUAACAGGAGGAAACUCCUGCUAAUACCGCAUAGCCAUGAGCACCGCAUGGAGCUCAUGCCAAAUAUCCUUUCGGGGAUAGCACAGGGAUGGACCUAUGGCGCAUUAGCUUGUUGGCGGGGCAACGGCCCACCAAGGCAACGAUGCGUAGCCGGCCUGAGAGGGCGGACGGCCACAUUGGGACUGAGACACGGCCCAGACUCCUACGGGAGGCAGCAGUAGGGAAUUUUCGGCAAUGGGGGAAACCCUGACCGAGCAACGCCGCGUGAGCGAAGAAGGCCUUCGGGUCGUAAAGCUCUGUUGUAAAGGAAGAACGGCGCAUACAGGAAAUGGUAUGCGAGUGACGGUACUUUACCAGAAAGCCACGGCUAACUACGUGCCAGCAGCCGCGGUAAUACGUAGUGGCGAGCGUUAUCCGGAAUCAUUGGGCGUAAAGAGGGAGCAGCGGCCGCAAGGGUCUGUGGUGAAAGACCGAAGCUAAACUUCGGUAAGCCAUGGAAACCGGGCGGCUAGAGUGCGGAAGAGGAUCGUGGAAUUCCAUGUGUAGCGGUGAAAUGCGUAGAUAUAUGGAGGAACACCAGUGGCGAAGGCGACGGUCUGGGCCGCAACUGACGCUCAUUCCCGAAAGCGUGGGGAGCAAAUAGGAUUAGAUACCCUAGUAGUCCACGCCGUAAACGAUGGUCACUAAGUGUCGGGGGUCAAACCCCGGUGCUGCAGUCAACGCAAUAGAGUGACCCGCCUGAGUAGUACGUUCGCAAGA
This 888-nucleotide ribosomal RNA is filed under the name uncultured bacterium. RNAcentral describes it as "bacterial SSU rRNA". It matches the Rfam family "Bacterial small subunit ribosomal RNA", at positions 1 to 893 of the family's 1533-position model. The record is from RNAcentral.